This 619-nucleotide long non-coding RNA is filed under the name Anas platyrhynchos platyrhynchos (common mallard). RNAcentral's name for it is "lncRNA (ENSAPLG00000029642.1)". Lineage: Eukaryota; Metazoa; Chordata; Aves; Anseriformes; Anatidae. The record is from RNAcentral.
CUCGAGAGCAUGUGGGCUAAAACCUGGGAGAUGCUGGGUACUUGCAUCUCUUACUGAAUAGUCUUUUAUCAGCCUAUUUAGGUUAUCCCAGUUUAACCCUAUAGUUCCUUCCAGCAAUUCAAUGACUCAGAUUAACUAGACACUUGGCCAGUGUCGAGCUCCAGGCUGAAGGUUGGAGAGAGGCUAGUCCCCAGACAAAUGAUGCAUGGAAUUUGUAUCUGUGUGUUGCCAUGCCGACGCCGUGCACAGAUUGCUCAAGAUUCAGCAGGACUUGGCAGGGACCUUUUUGCUUCCCAGAGACUCAAUGACAGUUUCACCUACAGAAAAAGAGUGAUGCCAAAGCAGGUCGUUAGAGUUGCUACGGUGAUGGAAGACUUUCACCUGAAAGGCUCUGUUAAAAACACGCCACUGCCCCAAGGACUUUCCAGAGGGCUGCUGUGAAGGUGGCAGAGCCAGCAUCUGCAGCCUCCCCAACCACACGAGGUCCAGGGGUCCGUGAGCUAUUCCUGCUUAAUCCUCACUGAAGGGGGAAGAACAAUUUUAGUGCAUAGUAAAGCAUUUGUUUAAUUCCUCUUAGGUGCAUGGUGCAUUUUAAUGAAUAAAAUAUUGGAUUACCUCA